UUUCUAUGGGAUGCAGCAUAGACGUAUGAGAAUCACAACUCAGAUUUAGCAAUUCAACAACUCUCUGUCUCAAAGUCUCAUCUCUCUCUAACUAAGGGAGAGAGAGAAUGGAUACUGUGUUUUCAGUGGAUGAGAUUGCCGAUCAAUUAUGGUCAUCGCCGCCACCGAUGAGGUUAUCUCAUGACUUGGAUUCUUCUUCCGCCACUUCGUCCUCUAAAAUGAUGAACAGGAGCUCGUCGGAGUGGGCUUUUCAGCGUUUCCUUCAGGAGGCUGCAGCAGCUGAAACUACUUCCUCGUCUUCUUCACAGCAGAUCAAGCUUAAUCAUAAUUUAAUUCCUGAUCAAUCGAAGCCUGUGUCAUCGUUUGUCUCUGAACCUCCGAUUGAUUCCGAUGAACAUCAGGCUUUCCUCAAAAGACGCCUGGAUUUGGCAUGUGCCGCCUUCGCUUUGAAUCGUGCAAGCUAUAUAAAAUCUCAAGAUUCGGCUUCUUUGCCACCCGAAAAAGGAUCACUGGCAGCUAAUGCAUCACUCUGUGGAUCUCAACUUCCUCCAAAAGGAUCUGGGCAAGAAUUGGCAAAAGUUCAAGAUAAGGAUGCUGGUGAGCCAAUUGGAAUACCUCCCUUGCCUGCAUUGCAGAAGAAACCUGGUAUCCAGGUAAGGUCAACGACAAGCGGUUCAUCCGGAGAGCAAUCAGAAGAUGAUGAAGCUGAAGGAGAAGCAGAAACAACUCAAUCAACUGAUCCAACUGAUGUGAAACGUGUGAGGAGAAUGCUAUCCAAUAGAGAAUCAGCUAGACGCUCGAGAAGAAGAAAACAAGCCCAUCUGACAGAACUAGAGACGCAGGUCUCUCAAGUAAGAGUAGAAAACUCCUCUUUAUUGAAACGCUUGACUGACAUAAGCCAGAAGUACAAUGAAGCAGCAGUUGACAAUAGAGUAUUGAAAGCCGAUGUUGAGACAUUGAGAGCAAAGGUGAAGAUG
This 977-nucleotide unclassified non-coding RNA is filed under the name Hevea brasiliensis (rubber tree). Lineage: Eukaryota; Viridiplantae; Streptophyta; Magnoliopsida; Malpighiales; Euphorbiaceae. The record is from RNAcentral.